This 468-nucleotide ribosomal RNA is filed under the name uncultured bacterium. RNAcentral describes it as "partial 16S ribosomal RNA". It matches the Rfam family "Bacterial small subunit ribosomal RNA", at positions 28 to 507 of the family's 1533-position model. The record is from RNAcentral.
GACGAACGCUGGCGGCGUGCUUAACACAUGCAAGUCGAACGGAAAGGCCCUGCUUUUGCGGGGUGCUCGAGUGGCGAACGGGUGAGUAACACGUGAGUAACCUGCCCUUGACUUUGGGAUAACUUCAGGAAACUGGGGCUAAUACCGGAUAGGAGCUCCUGCUGCAUGGUGGGGGUUGGAAAGUUUCGGCGGUUGGGGAUGGACUCGCGGCUUAUCAGCUUGUUGGUGGGGUAGUGGCUUACCAAGGCUUUGACGGGUAGCCGGCCUGAGAGGUUGACCGGCCGCAUUGGGACUAAGGUACGGCGCAGUCUGCAACGGGAGGCAGCAGUGGGAAAUAUUGCACAGUGGUCGGAAGCCUGAUGCAACAGCGCCGCGUGCGUGAUGACGGCCUUCGGGUUGUAAACCGCUUUCGCCUGUGACGAAGCGUGAGUGACGGUAAUGAGUAAAGAAGCACCGGCUAACUACGUG